AGGAAAUCGGUGCCUCUGCCACGGACAGAGGGUAAAAGGGAAACAGGUGAGAGUCCUGUGCGAUCCCGUCACUGUAUUUGGGGAGCAGGGCGCGUGCGCGCUGCGCGGUCACUGGCGAGAGCCGGGAAGGCUGCCGCUCUGUGGAUCCAUAAGUCAGGAAACCUGCCGGUUUC
RNAcentral lists this non-coding RNA (173 nucleotides) under uncultured Stomatobaculum sp. The record is from RNAcentral. Lineage: Bacteria; Bacillati; Bacillota; Clostridia; Lachnospirales; Lachnospiraceae.